GAGAUACGAUCUUACGUAUACGUAAGCUCCCGAAGGGAGCUAGAGAGGUAACUCUUUUCGCGCGUUCUUUUCUCCCAUAGGUUUUGUACACAGCCAACAUGGCUGCCGGCGGACAAUUUGAAGGUUGAUUUUGGAGGGUCAAUGUUUAAUUCAUGAAAUGACGUCAAAUUACGCAAAAUACACUUCCAUGAUUGGCUAAGACGCUAAUGUUUUAUUCAUAUCUUAUGAAUUAAACACGUUUUUUCCUUCCCACAAUUCCCCACGAGAUCUGUGCGAAGUGUUGUUCUUUUGGACUGUGCGAAUUUCCAGUUUCUACAACGAAAUAGCUCGACUAAUCAUCUGUUUAUAGAAUUGAUGUUCGAAAUCGUGAUUUUUGAGUGAACUUCAUUGGAGCAGAAAAUCUUGGAGGGAACAUCAAUAAUAAUCUACUGACAUUCCAUGAGAAUAAAAAUCCAAUAGGACCAAGAUUUUAGCAGUUCACACCCGGUCAGAGGGACAAAAUUGAGAACCAUGCAGAUCAGCAAGUGUUUCCCACUGCCCAAGCUGUUUAAGUACUGGUAUCACAACAAGUACCAAGAUGGAAGAUAUAUGAAGGCCAAGCUAAUAAGUAGUUACUUCAAAUUAAUUUGAAUAGAUAUAUCAACAAAGCAGUGAAUGUUCUUUAAACUGCACAU
Lytechinus variegatus (green sea urchin) is the source of this 674-nucleotide long non-coding RNA. RefSeq lists it as uncharacterized. The record is from RefSeq and is a predicted model, not a curated record. Lineage: Eukaryota; Metazoa; Echinodermata; Echinoidea; Temnopleuroida; Toxopneustidae. The transcript has 3 exons.